GGCUGCCGUAGGGGAUGCCGGCGUUCGCCGCCUUCCGCCGCUCCACGGCGCAGCCCGGGCAACGACCGGCCUCAACGGACCGAGGAUGAUCCAUCUUCUUCUUCUUCUCCAGCAACGGCGUCGACACCGACGAUAUACAGGAAUAUUCGUGGCACGUGAGAGCUGGUGGUGGUGGGUCCAUAUGGUCAGUGGGGCUGUGCAAGUGCAAUCUAUCAUCAGAUGGUGCUGGUGCUGUAGAUCUUUGUUUUUGGGUUUUGAUAUAAACUGACAGGAGCUUGGAUUUUUUUUCAUGUUUCUUUUUCUCAA
Molecule: long non-coding RNA, 306 nt
Organism: Brachypodium distachyon (stiff brome)
Lineage: Eukaryota; Viridiplantae; Streptophyta; Magnoliopsida; Poales; Poaceae
Exons: 2
Source: RefSeq, a predicted model, not a curated record